UAUAAAUUUAACCUCCUCUGAAGAACUUUCAGGUUUCUUAAAAAUUUGUUUAUUCUGAAGGGCAGAUUACAGAAAAGAGAGAGAUAAAUCUUCCAUCUGGUGAUUCCCUCUGAAGAUUUCUGCAAUGGCCCAGUGCUGGUUCAGGCCAAAGCAAGGAGCUUCAUCUGGGCGUCCAGCUGGACAGCAGACCUCAGCUGCAUAGCCUCAGGGCAGAAAGUGUUCCAGAAACCCCGUGGAUGGAUGGACAGCUUGUUGAAAGAAGUCAGGUAUUUUUCCUUGCGACUUAUCAUGAUGAUCCCAACUGCUUUCUCAAGGUGGAAUGCAAUUUUUACAAGGAUGGGGAUACUGUGAUUGCUGCAUUUUUCCCCAUUUACACAUAUCUCACUGAUACAUUCAUGAAUGUUUUCAAAAAGAAUCUCAUAUGUGAAGGGUAAGUUCUCUUGGUUUUAAUCAUUUUUCCUUGAUUUACAUAUUAGCUUUUUAUAUGGUCUGCAGAUGGUUGGAAAAAUGUGCUCUGUGUCCCUGCCUUGUCCAUCUUUUGUCCCUCCUAGAAACUGCUGAUAAUUAAUUUGGGGAAUGAUGAAGACAUUUUCUUUUUUCCUGGCACCUGAAUGGUUCAGGAAAAGGUUGUCUCAUCAGAGGAGGAGAGGAGAGUCUCGUUGGUGUUCUUCCUGUCCCCCCGUCCAUGUUCAUCAGCUCAGGGACCUAUUGUGCUCAUCAGAAGACUUUCAUAACCAGUGCACUGAAAUGAAUGAGAAACCUGGGUUACCAUGAGCUCUUCCACAUGUGCUCACAAACUUUUCUGCUAUGUACUAGAUUUGGGGCCAUGAGAAUGCUUUAUUUCUCCUACAGUCCUGAAGAAGAAAGAAUACAUAAGAAAGUAAAAUUUUACCAGU
Non-coding RNA from Oryctolagus cuniculus (rabbit), 896 nucleotides. NCBI's taxonomy places the organism in Eukaryota, Metazoa, Chordata, Mammalia, Lagomorpha, Leporidae. The record is from RefSeq and is a predicted model, not a curated record.